UACGUAGGAUGCAAGCGUUGUCCGGAAUUAUUGGGCGUAAAGAGCUCGUAGGCGGUUCGUCGCGUCGGCUGUGAAAUCCCGAGGCUCAACCUCGGGUCUGCAGUCGAUACGGGCGGACUGGAGUUCGGCAGGGGAGACUGGAAUUCCUGGUGUAGCGGUGAAAUGCGCAGAUAUCAGGAGGAACACCGGUGGCGAAGGCGGGUCUCUGGGCCGAUACUGACGCUGAGGAGCGAAAGCGUGGGGAGCGAACAGG
Molecule: ribosomal RNA, 253 nt
Filed under: uncultured bacterium
Lineage: Bacteria
Description: partial 16S ribosomal RNA
Rfam family: Bacterial small subunit ribosomal RNA
Source: RNAcentral